AAUACGUAGGUGGCAAGCGUUGUACGGAAUUAUUGGGCGCAAAGCGCGCGCAGGCGGUCGUUUAAGUCUGAUGUGAAAGCCCACGGCUCAACCGUGGAGGGUCAUUCGAUACUGGGGGACUUGAGUGCAGAAGAGGAAAGCGGCAUUCCACGUGUAGCGGUGAAAUGCGUAGAGAUGUGGAGGAACACCAGUGCCGAAGGCGGCUUUCUNGUCUGUAACUGACACUGAGGCGCGAAAGGGUGGGGAGUUAAAAACAGGAUUAGAUACCCUGGUAGUCCACGCCCUAAACGAUGAGUGUUAAGUGUUAGAGGGUUUCCGCCCUUUAGUGCUGCAGGUAACGCAUAAAGCACUCCGCCUGGGGAGUACGGCCGCAAGGCUGAAACUCAAAGGACNUUGACGGGGGCCCGCACAA
RNAcentral lists this ribosomal RNA (412 nucleotides) under uncultured Bacillus sp. RNAcentral describes it as "bacterial SSU rRNA". It matches the Rfam family "Bacterial small subunit ribosomal RNA", at positions 522 to 928 of the family's 1533-position model. The record is from RNAcentral. Lineage: Bacteria; Bacillati; Bacillota; Bacilli; Caryophanales; Bacillaceae.